ACUCCAUGGGGGAAAAGAUCAAUCAAAGGGGAUGCCCAAAAGGAAAUAUUACCAACUACCAGCCAAGCGAUAGCUUAACAAGGUAACCAACCAAAGGUAAAAGAAAUAUUACCUAACUACCAACCAAGUGAUAGCUUUACAAAGGUAAUAAUCUCGAGGAAAGAUUACUAACUACCAGCCAAGUGAUACCUUAACAAGGUAACCAACCAAAGAUAAAAGAAAUAUUAUCUAACUUUCAAUCAAGUGAUAACUUAAAAAAG
Molecule: long non-coding RNA, 260 nt
Filed under: Lathyrus oleraceus (garden pea)
Lineage: Eukaryota; Viridiplantae; Streptophyta; Magnoliopsida; Fabales; Fabaceae
Description: Pisum sativum (pea) long non-coding RNA (PSAT_LNC037258)
Source: RNAcentral